RNAcentral lists this ribosomal RNA (1489 nucleotides) under Lactiplantibacillus plantarum. RNAcentral's name for it is "bacterial SSU rRNA". It matches the Rfam family "Bacterial small subunit ribosomal RNA". Lineage: Bacteria; Bacillati; Bacillota; Bacilli; Lactobacillales; Lactobacillaceae. The record is from RNAcentral.
GACGAACGCUGGCGGCGUGCCUAAUACAUGCAAGUCGAACGAACUCUGGUAUUGAUUGGUGCUUGCAUCAUGAUUUACAUUUGAGUGAGUGGCGAACUGGUGAGUAACACGUGGGAAACCUGCCCAGAAGCGGGGGAUAACACCUGGAAACAGAUGCUAAUACCGCAUAACAACUUGGACCGCAUGGUCCGAGUUUGAAAGAUGGCUUCGGCUAUCACUUUUGGAUGGUCCCGCGGCGUAUUAGCUAGAUGGUGGGGUAACGGCUCACCAUGGCAAUGAUACGUAGCCGACCUGAGAGGGUAAUCGGCCACAUUGGGACUGAGACACGGCCCAAACUCCUACGGGAGGCAGCAGUAGGGAAUCUUCCACAGUGGACGAAAGUCUGAUGGAGCAACGCCGCGUGAGUGAAGAAGGGUUUCGGCUCGUAAAACUCUGUUGUUAAAGAAGAACAUAUCUGAGAGUAACUGUUCAGGUAUUGACGGUAUUUAACCAGAAAGCCACGGCUAACUACGUGCCAGCAGCCGCGGUAAUACGUAGGUGGCAAGCGUUGUCCGGAUUUAUUGGGCGUAAAGCGAGCGCAGGCGGUUUUUUAAGUCUGAUGUGAAAGCCUUCGGCUCAACCGAAGAAGUGCAUCGGAAACUGGGAAACUUGAGUGCAGAAGAGGACAGUGGAACUCCAUGUGUAGCGGUGAAAUGCGUAGAUAUAUGGAAGAACACCAGUGGCGAAGGCGGCUGUCUGGUCUGUAACUGACGCUGAGGCUCGAAAGUAUGGGUAGCAAACAGGAUUAGAUACCCUGGUAGUCCAUACCGUAAACGAUGAAUGCUAAGUGUUGGAGGGUUUCCGCCCUUCAGUGCUGCAGCUAACGCAUUAAGCAUUCCGCCUGGGGAGUACGGCCGCAAGGCUGAAACUCAAAGGAAUUGACGGGGGCCCGCACAAGCGGUGGAGCAUGUGGUUUAAUUCGAAGCUACGCGAAGAACCUUACCAGGUCUUGACAUACUAUGCAAGUCUAAGAGAUUAGACGUUCCCUUCGGGGACAUGGAUACAGGUGGUGCAUGGUUGUCGUCAGCUCGUGUCGUGAGAUGUUGGGUUAAGUCCCGCAACGAGCGCAACCCUUAUUAUCAGUUGCCAGCAUUAAGUUGGGCACUCUGGUGAGACUGCCGGUGACAAACCGGAGGAAGGUGGGGAUGACGUCAAAUCAUCAUGCCCCUUAUGACCUGGGCUACACACGUGCUACAAUGGAUGGUACAACGAGUUGCGAACUCGCGAGAGUAAGCUAAUCUCUUAAAGCCAUUCUCAGUUCGGAUUGUAGGCUGCAACUCGCCUACAUGAAGUCGGAAUCGCUAGUAAUCGCGGAUCAGCAUGCCGCGGUGAAUACGUUCCCGGGCCUUGUACACACCGCCCGUCACACCAUGAGAGUUUGUAACACCCAAAGUCGGUGGGGUAACCUUUUAGGAACCAGCCGCCUAAGGUGGGACAGAUGAUUAGGGUG